GGGAUCUGCAUGGCUGGUGAUGAUGAGGGAGACGGAGCCCAGGAGAAGGAUCUUAAGGGAAAAUAUUGACAACAUUGGUUUUAGAUGUUUCAUAACAGUUGACAAUCAUUGUCAUGAAGUCGGAAGAGCCAUCUGAACUGGAGGAGCAUUGAUUCUACCAGAGAAAUUAACCACCGUGAACAUGUCAUGGAUUAGUGAAUAAAACCACUCCAAUUCUUGUCCUCAUUUCUCCUCUUUGGCCUCAUUCUUGGAGCUGUGCUUUGCUCAGAUUCCCCAGCUCCACACCCUCUGACACUGUCCUUCAGGAGGGCUGCAGCUUCACUGCCAGUCAGAAGAGUCAAAAUUGCCCUUGGCUGCUCAACAGUGCAGAACAAUCCCCUUAGAACCUUGAAAUUCCCCUUGUUCAUCGACCUCAUGGAAUAAUGACCUUGCUUCAAGUCUGAAAAUUUCACGGGGAUCCCCUAGACUGAUUAUAAUUUGUGGCUAAAGAACACUCAGAAACAAAGGGUGCAGUUGAGCUUUGACAAAGCUGGGAUUAAAGAAAGAGCUCCCUGCCCAGUCUUCACCAGGGCACUUCUCUCCGUGGAUCCUGCAAAUCGGUCGGU
This 605-nucleotide long non-coding RNA is filed under the name Equus asinus (donkey). RNAcentral's name for it is "lncRNA (ENSEASG00005037007.1)". The record is from RNAcentral. Lineage: Eukaryota; Metazoa; Chordata; Mammalia; Perissodactyla; Equidae.